Molecule: non-coding RNA, 48 nt
Organism: Schistosoma margrebowiei
Lineage: Eukaryota; Metazoa; Platyhelminthes; Trematoda; Strigeidida; Schistosomatidae
Source: Rfam
GUCAAGCUGACGAGUCCCAAAUAGGACAAAACGAGCGUCAAACUCGAU